UACAGCAAUCAUAGCAAAGGGGAUCACCUGAUACCAUUCCGAACUCAGUAGUUAAGCCCUUUUACGCCGAAAAUACCAGAGAUGGGAAAAUAGGGAGUUGCUGCUU
RNAcentral lists this ribosomal RNA (106 nucleotides) under Mesomycoplasma lagogenitalium. The record is from RNAcentral. Lineage: Bacteria; Bacillati; Mycoplasmatota; Mycoplasmoidales; Metamycoplasmataceae.